AGCUCUAAUAGCGUAUAUUAAAUUUGUUGCGGUUGAAAAGCUCGUAGUUGAAGCGAGGACAAGCGGCAAGAGGGUCCACCCGAAGGGUGCUGUACACUCGGUCGGUUGUCUGCCGGGGAGGGUAACCUUCCUGGAAUGUUGGUCUGGGCGCCGUCGCUCUUCACUGGGCGACGGAGUUGCCUUCCAACAAGUUUACUUUGAGUAAAUUAGAGUGUUCAAAGCAGGCAAAAGUUGUAUAAGCCACUGAAUACUAGAGCAUGGGAUAAUAGAAUAGGACUGUGGUUCUAUUGUGUUUGGUUUUCGCGAAUGUGAAUAGAAACAUAGUAAUGAUUAAGAGGGACAGUUGGGGGCAUUCGUAUUUGCCAGUCAGAGGUGAAAUUCAUAGAUUUGGUAAAGACGA
This 400-nucleotide ribosomal RNA is filed under the name phytoplankton environmental sample. Its description in RNAcentral is "partial small subunit ribosomal RNA". It matches the Rfam family "Eukaryotic small subunit ribosomal RNA", at positions 587 to 938 of the family's 1831-position model. The record is from RNAcentral.